RNAcentral lists this ribosomal RNA (274 nucleotides) under uncultured bacterium. RNAcentral's name for it is "partial 16S ribosomal RNA". It matches the Rfam family "Bacterial small subunit ribosomal RNA", at positions 79 to 353 of the family's 1533-position model. The record is from RNAcentral.
CUUUCUUUGCUGGCGACCGGCGCACGGGUGAGUAACACGUAUCCAACCUGCCUUUACUCGGGGAUAGCCUUUCGAAAGAAAGAUUAAUACCCGAUGGCAUAAUGAUUCCGCAUGGUUUCAUUAUUAAAGGAUUCCGGUAAAGGAUGGGGAUGCGUUCCAUUAGGUUGUUGGUGAGGUAACGGCUCACCAAGCCUUCGAUGGAUAGGGGUUCUGAGAGGAAGGUCCCCCACAUUGGAACUGAGACACGGUCCAAACUCCUACGGGAGGCAGCAUG